UACGGAGGGUGCUAGCGUUGUUCGGAAUUACUGGGCGUAAAGCGCGCGUAGGCGGCUUUGUAAGUUAGAGGUGAAAGCCCGGAGCUCAACUCCGGAACUGCCUUUAAAACUGCAUCGCUUGAAUCUAGGAGAGGUGAGUGGAAUUCCGAGUGUAGAGGUGAAAUGCGCAGAUAUCGGGAGGAACACCGGUGGCGAAGGCGGCUCACUGGACCGGUAUUGACGCUGAGGUGCGAAAGCGUGGGGAGCAAACAGG
This 253-nucleotide ribosomal RNA is filed under the name uncultured bacterium. RNAcentral's name for it is "partial 16S ribosomal RNA". It matches the Rfam family "Bacterial small subunit ribosomal RNA", at positions 524 to 776 of the family's 1533-position model. The record is from RNAcentral.